CUUUACUGUAGCCUGGUAUUGGGUUCGGGCUUUGACUGCGCAGGAUAGGUGGGAGACUAUGAAGCUGCCCUUGUGGGGCAGUGGAGUCAUCAGUGAGAUACCACUCUGUCAAGGCUAGAAUUCUAACCGUCUGCCGUUAUCCGGCGACGGAACAGUAUCAGGUGGGCAGUUUGACUGGGGCGGUCGCCUCCUAAAUGGUAACGGAGGCGCGCAAAGGUUCCCUCAGGCUGGUUGGAAAUCAGCCGAAGAGUGUAAAGGCAGAAGGGAGCUUGACUGCAAGAGCAACAACUCAAGCAGGGACGAAAGUCAGCCUUAGUGACCCGACGGCGCUGAGUGGAAGGGCCGUCGCUCAACGGAUAAAAGUUA
Molecule: ribosomal RNA, 366 nt
Filed under: uncultured organism
Description: bacterial LSU rRNA
Rfam family: Bacterial large subunit ribosomal RNA
Source: RNAcentral